CAGAAUCUACUGGGACCCAAACCCGAGAGCACCGAGUUCCCACGAGCCAAUGCCUGGCUGUGGAGGAACCGGGAGGUCACAGGGAUGCAAUGGGCAACAUCAGGAUGAGGCAGGUUCAGCUUGGUUGUGACCUCUGCUAGAAGCCCUCCCUGGCCUCCCUGUGCACUGAGCUGGUGGUUCCUCCUUUGCGCCCCAGGUACAUGCUCAGAUCUGUGUACCCUACACUUUGUCCUCCAGCUUCGUGUUUGGAUGUUCACAACUCCCAUGAGAAGGGCCCCCGAGAGCUGGCACAGUGCAUGUGUUUCCUCUCCAGACUUCUACAAACCUGGCACAUAAUUGUUUGCUGAAAGAUGGCAUGUUCCUAAAACAGAGGAAGUAGAACCGAAUAAAGCGAAAUCCAACUUCCCAC
This 409-nucleotide long non-coding RNA is filed under the name Homo sapiens (human). RNAcentral describes it as "long intergenic non-protein coding RNA 2580". The record is from RNAcentral. Lineage: Eukaryota; Metazoa; Chordata; Mammalia; Primates; Hominidae.